CCUACAAAGUAAAAAGUGUUUUCUCUCUUGUCCUUUACAGGAAGUUUGCUGAUGGCCAGAACGUCAUAAAAACAGGUGAUUUGCUCCAUUCCAUUUCUCAAUCCUCCUCUCACCCAACCUGGAAUAGCUUCUUCCUGAAGGCUUUGCUGCCUACCAGCCUCAGACAAGCCUGUGGAUUAGGAGGAGUGUGUCCCGGUGCCUAACAUGGCCAACAUCCCCUUUGCCCCUUGCCCAUGGCUUGAGCACCAGAACCUUGGAGAGAUUCAGACUCCAGUGGCUUGUAAAAGAGUGCUCUGUGCUUACCGGCACACUACCCCAGGUCUUCUGUUGUGAGUGAAGCUUCUUCUGAAGAAGAAAGCCAUGGAGAAGUCAAUUCCUCCCAAACACUACCCAGGGAAUGGGGUAAGAAUCUAUUGAUGUUCACUGUCAGACCAGAAAUUAAGAGAGCCAGAGGAGCACCCAAUGAGGCCUGGAACAGUCCUAUUUUA
RNAcentral lists this long non-coding RNA (488 nucleotides) under Canis lupus familiaris (dog). Its description in RNAcentral is "lncRNA (ENSCAFG00000053798.1, ENSCAFG00805019903.1)". Lineage: Eukaryota; Metazoa; Chordata; Mammalia; Carnivora; Canidae. The record is from RNAcentral.